GGAUUAGAUACCCUGGUAGUCCACACCGUAAACGAUGGAUACUAGUCGUUUGAGGAGUUAACCCCUUGAGUGACAAAGUUCACACAUUAAGUAUCCCGCCUGGGGAGUACGGUCGCAAGGCUAAAACUCAAAGGAAUUGACGGGGGCCCGCACAAGCGGUGGAGUAUGUGGUUUAAUUCGAAGCAACGCGCAGAACCUUACCUGGCCUUGACAUCCCGAGACAAUCUCAGAGAUGAGACCUUCUCUUCGGAGACUCGGUGACAGAUGCUGCAUGGCUGUCGUCAGCUCGUGCCG
Molecule: ribosomal RNA, 294 nt
Filed under: uncultured bacterium
Lineage: Bacteria
Description: partial 16S ribosomal RNA
Rfam family: Bacterial small subunit ribosomal RNA
Source: RNAcentral